GCCCAUCCUCACGUUCACACCUUCGCUAACUUUCUUGUUCUCUCGUAACAGGUAGCUGAGAGGGCAUGCGGCUGGGUGAGCAGUGUUUUUUGAGGUUCAUCCCUAAUUCUGGUGUGUGCACCCGAUAACUGGCUUGCUUCAAACAACAGAAGAGCUACACAGAUCAAACGUCCGAGUGAAGCGAGAGUCAAACAGCACUGCCCCUAACCUUGGCUACUCUGCAGUAGAAGUGCCCCGGUGCAGCCACCCUUCUCAUCAAAGCGCGGUGGUUAAGACUGCCCAGGUCAUCUCUGCAAGCCGCAUUUGUUGCUUGUACAUCUCCACAUCAGCAGAGUGCAACAGGGACAGCAGGCAUGGAGCAGCGGAUAUGGAGAAGUACCGUGAAGAUCACUCUGUAAUGCGGGCAUGGAUGCAAGCAACCCCAAGCUGACACUGGAGCAAGCUGGUUGCUUCAUUGACAGGUUGAGAAAUGCUCUGAUACUGCAAGAUAAUCAGGGUUAAAACAAGUUUUAGCAGUCCCUCCCACUCAGCCAGCAGCCACUUCAGUCCUCUGAACAAUGUUUUGGGGGCUUAGAGAAGAAGGAGCAGAUUGAUCAAUUAGCGAGACAGAAGGUGGCAAGUUAGUUAAGUCAGGCUCACGAGGAACUGAUCACUAAACCCACAAAGCUGGAAGUACUGUCUUAUUUGAGUACUUCAUGUCACCUUUAAACUGGGAGCAGUGGCCAACAUUUAAAUGGGGAAGGGGGUUGGUAAAAACCGUGAGAAGUCCCACAACUAGAAUGAAGAAUAAUGCCUACAAACUGGCAUCUCAGGGUUGACCCAUGCAUGUCUAUGGCUCUGUGUUUGGGGAGAUCAGGGAAAGCAGGAUGUGUCUCUGACAUCUAGUUCGGAGGAAGGUCAGAAGUGCCAGCAGGGCCUUCUGCUUCUAUUCCAUUGGCUGGUUUUGCUAUUCCUCUGUCAGACUUACUGGUUUGGCAGUGCAUUCAAAUGUUACUGGUGGGAAUGUACUGACACACACACACACAUGCAAAAUACAAUGUGGCCUCCUGAGCCUCAUUCUCUUACAAAUUCUGCUUAACCACCCCCUGCCACUUUAUUUUAUUUGGUAACUACUGGAGCCUGCGUGGGGGUGCGGGUGGGGAUUAGCGGAGAGGGAUGGUGCAGGGCUCUUUCUGGAUUUCAGUAAGAGAGGCCUGGCAACAAAGAGCUUCGUAAGAAAACUGCUUUAGUAAGGCAGAACGACAGGAAUACAGAUAGAUAGUGAGUAAGCUGCACAUCCCUUCAGAUGCUGGGCACCCCACAUUCAGGUAGCAUCAGACAGCCUGGAUGGAUUUUUUUUCCCAUGUCGUGCUGUGCAGAGCAGAUCUGACCCCCGUCUGAUGAGAGACGCUCUCCCGUUUGGCCAUUUGAACUAUUAUGUGAUUUCCUGUGAAAACAACUCUCUUCUUGAAGGCUGUUCUCAUGAGAACGCCUGGCUGCCCUGCUCGAUAAGGGCAAGGCCAGGCAGGUGGCACAGGCAGUGGGAGCUGCCUGUGGGCUCCUGUUACGCUGCUUGACACUGGCGAUCCCGCAGCCAGGCGGCUUGCUAUGCCUGCUCGGGGUAACCUGAUGUGCAGCGCUGACCUCUGCGUGUGAAACGGCCUCAUGGGCAGGAUCAGUACCGGUCAGGGAAAGCUUGCGCCCGUGCGUUUUUCUCUGCUUUGGAGACGUUUGGCACAGGAACCUCAGACUUUAAACCACUGGCUCUGCAGUUUGUUUGCUUUCAAAAAUGACAAUGAGCUGGAGCUGGCCGCAGGCAUGGGUUGGCAUAUUAAAGCUCAGGCAUCUCUUCGGUACCAUCAGUGAAAUGCUCUAAGGCGUCACUUUGCAAACACUUUCACACAUUCUUUUGGCUACCAUGAACAAUGCAGCCGAAACCUACAGUGGUGUGGCGUAACCCAUUUUGGAACCGGGCAUGAACCUCAGGGCUUCAUGGGCAAGUGGUGCCCAAAAGGAUUCUGGGCAGCUGUCACCGUAAUAUUGUGAAAAAGCUGGGCAGAGCUCAAAGAAAUACUGUUCAGAGUGCUUUUACAUUAGAUUUCCUUUCAGCAAGGAGCCAAGUGGCGAAUUGGGAAAGUGAGCAGUCAGCAGUGCAUACACCUUUAAAGCAAACCUCUCCCAGCACCCUCUGCUCCCUUCAUGGAGCGGCACUGCAGGGUAUCUGGGCUUUGGUAGUAACUGCACCUUUGCCUGCUCCAUCACUGCUGGGGGUAAGUACCCAGCUCCUUGACCUCUUGCUCCCACAGAACGGGUGCCUUGCUGCUUCUGGUCAGGGUUUUGUUUAAGGUGUCGUGGUGUACUUUGGCUUUUCCACUUGGAUUCUAGAGAAGUUCUGGAGUUACUGCUCUUCCCAGGGUCUGCCUGUGACCUGAAAGCAUGGGAGGGGGCGGGACUGGGGCAGUGCUUGGAUGGCCUUGGUUUCGUGAAGUGAAUCUGUGUGACGUUAUUAAGGUACGGAAACACCGCUCUGUCCUUUGAAACUCAAUUAAUUUGUUGGUUAGUUUUUGAUUAUUUGAUUUUGGAGACAUUCUUUUAAUUAGUGAAGUGACUGCUGUUAUGGCCAAGCAUGUGUAAGUCACUCAAGGAAAGUUUGACAUCCAGCUGCUAGGGAAAUAGCAGCAGGACAUAGUAAAUUAGGUAAAAUGAAGGUUGUAAGCAUUACUACCUGAUAAUGUCUGCACGAAGAUAU
Long non-coding RNA from Cygnus olor (mute swan), 2728 nucleotides. RefSeq lists it as uncharacterized. NCBI's taxonomy places the organism in Eukaryota, Metazoa, Chordata, Aves, Anseriformes, Anatidae. The transcript is spliced from 3 exons. The record is from RefSeq and is a predicted model, not a curated record.